AUUGAACGCUGGCGGCAUGCCUUACACAUGCAAGUCGAACGGCAGCACGGGAGCAAUCCUGGUGGCGAGUGGCGAACGGGUGAGUAAUAUAUCGGAACGUGCCCAGUCGUGGGGAUAACGUAGCGAAAGCUACGCUAAUACCGCAUACGAUCUAUGGAUGAAAGCGGGGGAUCGCAAGACCUCGCGCGAUUGGAGCGGCCGAUAUCAGAUUAGGUAGUUGGUGGAGGUAAGGCUCACCGAAGCCGACGAUCUGUAGCUGGUCUGAGAGGACGACCAGCCACACUGGGACUGAGACACGGCCCAGACUCCUACGGGAGGCAGCAGUGGGGAAUUUUGGACAAUGGGCGCAAGCCUGAUCCAGCAAUGCCGCGUGCAGGAUGAAGGCCCUCGGGUUGUAAACUGCUUUUGUACGGAACGAAAAGGUUUGUCUUAAUACGAUGAGCUCAUGACGGUACCGUAAGAAUAAGCACCGGCUAACU
RNAcentral lists this ribosomal RNA (479 nucleotides) under uncultured bacterium. RNAcentral's name for it is "bacterial SSU rRNA". It matches the Rfam family "Bacterial small subunit ribosomal RNA", at positions 30 to 502 of the family's 1533-position model. The record is from RNAcentral.